AAGCUGUGGUGAGGACACUGAUUAGUAUUACUUAUAAACCGUUCCCAAGCCUCUCCAAAACUUUCAUUUGUAUGUUGGGUGAAGCUUGAGAUUUGAUUUCUUAGCUU
Molecule: small nucleolar RNA, 107 nt
Filed under: Eutrema salsugineum
Lineage: Eukaryota; Viridiplantae; Streptophyta; Magnoliopsida; Brassicales; Brassicaceae
Description: Plant small nucleolar RNA R71
Rfam family: Plant small nucleolar RNA R71
About the family: R71 is a member of the C/D box family of snoRNAs containing the C (UGAUGA) and D (CUGA) box motifs.
Source: Rfam by way of RNAcentral